RNAcentral lists this ribosomal RNA (481 nucleotides) under uncultured bacterium. Its description in RNAcentral is "partial 16S ribosomal RNA". It matches the Rfam family "Bacterial small subunit ribosomal RNA", at positions 28 to 507 of the family's 1533-position model. The record is from RNAcentral.
GAUGAACGCUGGCGGCGUGCUUAACACAUGCAAGUCGAACGAAGCAUUUAAGACAGAUUACUUCGGUUUGAAGUCUUUUAUGACUGAGUGGCGGACGGGUGAGUAACGCGUGGGUAACCUGCCUCAUACAGGGGGAUAGCAGCUGGAAACGGCUGGUAAUACCGCAUAAGCGCACAGUACCACAUGGUACAGUGUGAAAAACUCCGGUGGUAUGAGAUGGACCCGCGUCUGAUUAGCUUGUUGGCGGGGUAACGGCCCACCAAGGCGACGAUCAGUAGCCGACCUGAGAGGGUGACCGGCCACAGUGGGACUGAGACACGGCCCAGACUCCUACGGGAGGCAGCAGUGGGGAAUAUUGCACAAUGGAGGAAACUCUGAUGCAGCGACGCCGCGUGAGUGAAGAAGUAGUUCGCUAUGUAAAGCUCUAUCAGCAGGGAAGAUAGUGACGGUACCUGACGAAGAAGCUCCGGCUAAAUACGUG